GCUAAAUCUCUUAAUACUAUCUGCUAAUGAAAAGUGCAUUGUAUAGGUACACAUCAUUUGAUAUGUUUUAGUCUUUUUUCUGUAGUGUGGCGGCGACUCUCUCUACGAUUUAGUUGAAAGUCUCCCGUGGCUGUGUUGCUGGGGACCGGGCCCUUGCCCAGCGCGUCGUCUCCUCAGUUUUGCGGCCAAAUCAUGUUUGUUCUGCCACGAUGGCACAUGGCAUCUAAUGAACUAUUGUGGGGGCGGGGGAGGAGCAGCAGAAGCAGCUAGCAGCAGUGGCAGCAGCAGCAGCAGCACGAAGGAGGAGACAGGGUCGCGGAGAUCAGUGUUGGCCGGGGUGUCGCACACAGUUUUGCUCGCCGGGCAACAAAUCAGCCAGCGACGACCAAAACCAGAAAUGAAGCUUCAGCUCUCCAGCUCUCCAGCCUCAGCUCCCAGCUUCGUGUUGUCGUUGUAAAAAUGUUUGCUUGCACGCUUUCCAUUGGUUGCCGCCGAUGUCUUGUUGUAGUUGUUGUUGUUGUUGUUGCAUCUGUUGGGUUGGUGCUGUAGCUGGUCGUGCUUUGCGGUCGUUGCCCCGCUGUGACGUCACCGGUUCAAUGGCAAAAUGUGACCCAGAUUGUCUGAGCUGCACAACUAAGCUAUGGAGCCCCGCAGUCCACAGCUGUGUGUGUGCUGAGCUGUCUGUGUUGGCCAUGUCUCUGGUCUCUCUCCUUGGCUCUUAAGAACAAAGAGCGGUCAAAGAGAGCGCUGGUCGCUCUCUUAGCUACUUCUAAGCAGAGCUUUGCGUUCGUUUCGGCUGUGCAGUGUAAGCCCUAUGAAAUAUUUUUUGGAACCGGCCCCAACUUUCUCCACAACUUGCCCG
RNAcentral lists this long non-coding RNA (862 nucleotides) under Drosophila guanche. The record is from RNAcentral. Lineage: Eukaryota; Metazoa; Arthropoda; Insecta; Diptera; Drosophilidae.